RNAcentral lists this unclassified non-coding RNA (1026 nucleotides) under Bombus terrestris (buff-tailed bumblebee). RNAcentral describes it as "misc RNA ENSBTSG00005032149.1". The record is from RNAcentral. Lineage: Eukaryota; Metazoa; Arthropoda; Insecta; Hymenoptera; Apidae.
CCUGUUCUUGCUCGACAGUUAACGUGGCUGCCAUUUUGACUUAACGCACUGACAUAACCGAAGAAUCGCACUAGCACGUACUUAUUUUCGAUUCUAUCCUAACGAUCCUCUGUCUGUGGCUACACAUUUUGUUUCCACACCAAAACGCACAACACUAUCCUUAUGACCGAUUGGUCGAAGCGAUGACAGAAACAAGUAGAUCGGUCCGGCACUCGUUCAUUGUCCGACGCUUGACACAGCUAUAGCAGAACCGCUCCGACCCGUUCAGACGCUCGAUCGUCUUUCUCUCCUUUAUCGGACGCCUGUCCUUCUCACGCCGGAUAUGCUAUCAUUGGCCGAGUAUAGUUAACGUCGAAAGCCUCUCUGACUCCCCAAGUCUUAUACGAUUUCGUGCAAAUUCAACGCCGGAAACAAGCCAGGUGUGUUUUGGAACGGAAGCAGAAUCGUUGUUAGUAUAUUAUAAUCCGGACACGUAUCGGUACGUGUUUCAAUGUGCGCGCUCGAAUACCAGUCACGUAUAUAUUAAUAUGCUUUCAAAGGAUCUUGCAGAGUUUUCGCAAAAAAGCUCCAAAAUUCUUGCGCUUUAUAAAUUGUAUCAGCGAAUUUGUUGACGCACGUCUGGUAGAUACACAAAAUCAAUUUUUUGUCGGUAACGUGGGGCAACGCAGUCAAUGAACGAGCGGUUCUUCCUCGUACUUCAAUCCCGUUUUGAACCCAAUUUGAACGUUUCAAUCCCGAGCGAUAUAUGGAUCGAAAUUAAUUUGAAUACGUCAGAUGCCAUUGACGUGAUUGAUAUUUUAAUAUCCUGAAUACCACGGCGUUAAUAUGUACUACGAUGCGUGAGAGAGAUCACCGUCGAAACGUUGCCAAUAAGCAACAAGUUAGCGUGCGAGCUAUACGCAACAAGUCUCAUAAUAGAAUUAAGUUUUUGUACGUUUGUUCGAACUUGGGAAAACAAAGUUGGACGUAUUUCUUCGUAUAAAUUCGAUUCGUGUCUAGGAGCGUGGUUAAAUGUAACGAAUAAAG